RNAcentral lists this unclassified non-coding RNA (524 nucleotides) under Hevea brasiliensis (rubber tree). Lineage: Eukaryota; Viridiplantae; Streptophyta; Magnoliopsida; Malpighiales; Euphorbiaceae. The record is from RNAcentral.
AAAGAACAAGUCUGAAGGUGAGAUUAAUGCGUAAUGAAUCUGCCUUUACACGUUUAGGCACUGAAUGAAGCCAAUCCCGUUGAGUAUAACCUCUCAUUACCAGCAAUGAACCAUGUUUUAGGACAAACGAGUGUUUGUCUGGAAAGGCAUCCUUCUUCAAUCGCUUUCUGGGAGGUUCACCACUGGUGUUUUUACCUCGGGAUGUUUUAUCUGGUUUCUUUUUCAGCAAGAAUUCACGUUCACAUCCAAAGGAAAGAGAAGCAAUUUCUGGAGUUGGUCCAUAAAGUUUCUCAUCAUCAGCAUGCCAACCUACAUAGUCAUCGCCUCCCUUGUACCUAUUCAGUAAUAAGCUGUUGAAACGACUUCCUGGAAGAGCUUUAUGGACAGCAUCGAGAAUAUCCUUAAGCGGAGGAAAUUCAUCCCAAGAAUAUGCAUGAGGCUGGUAUCCACUGUAAACUAGUUGUGGUAAUCCUUCACUUGCCACGUAACAAGUGUCUCUGGGCUGGACACAAGAUCGACCGAAG